CUGACGCAGCAACGCCGCGUGAGUGAUGACGCUUUUUGGAGUGUAAAGCUCUGUCAGAAGGGAAUAACGGGGUGCUUACUAAUAAUAAGUAUUCUUGACGGUACCUUCAGAGGAAGCCCCGGCUAACUCCGUGCCAGCAGCCGCGGUAAUACGGAGGGGGCUAGCGUUGUUCGGAAUUACUGGGCGUAAAGCGCGCGUAGGCGGUUUGGUAAGUUAGUCGUUUAAUCCCCCGGCUUAACUGAGGUUCUGCGGUUAAUACUGCCAAACUUGAGUACGGGAGAGGAAAGUGGAAUUCCAUGUGUAGCGGUGAAAUGCGCAGAUAUAUGGAGGAACACCCGUGGCGAAGGCGGCUUUCUGGACCGAUACUGACGCUGAGGUGCGAAAGCGUGGGGAGCAAACGGGAUUAGAUACCCCGGUAGUCCACGCCGUAAACGAUGGGUACUUGGUGUAGGGGGCAUCGACCCCCCCUGUGCCGGAGCUAACGCAUUAAGUACCCCGCCUGGGGAGUACGACCGCAAGGUUGAAACUCAAAGGAAUUGACGGGGGCCCGCACAAGCGGUGGAGCAUGUGGUUUAAUUCGACGCAACGCGAAGAACCUUACCUGGGUUUGACAUGUUUGGGACAGCCGGUGAAAAUCGGUUUCUCUUCGGAGCCCUUACACAGGUGCUGCAUGGCUGUCGUCAGCUCGUGUCGUGAGAUGUUGGGUUAAGUCCCGCAACGAGCGCAACCCUUACCCUUAGUUGCCAUCGGGUUCGGCCGGGAACUCUAAGGGAACUGCCGGUGAUAAACCGGAGGAAGGUGGGGAUGACGUCAAGUCCUCAUGGCCUUUAUAUCCAGGGCUACACACGUGCUACAAUGGCUGGUACAAAGGGUCGCGAUACCGCGAGGUGGAGCCAAUCCCAUAAAGCCAGUCUCAGUUCGGAUUGGAGUCUGCAACUCGACUCCAUGAAGGUGGAAUCACUAGUAAUCGUGGAUCAGCAUGCCACGGUGAAUACGUUCCCGGGCCUUGUACACACCGCC
Molecule: ribosomal RNA, 1020 nt
Filed under: uncultured bacterium
Lineage: Bacteria
Description: bacterial SSU rRNA
Rfam family: Bacterial small subunit ribosomal RNA
Source: RNAcentral